UAAAAACAUGGAGAAAUCAAAGUAGCUGAUAAUCAGAAUAUCAGAUGACAUUUGGCUUUGAUAUGUAUUUUCGGUCUCUGAGUUUCUGAAAAUCCACAGUACUUCAAAUAAUGUAAGGACAUAUUACAAAUGUAAGGACAUAUCUAGACUCAGAAGAAACCCAAAUAUGUAGCUCCCUCGUCCUAACUUGUGUUUGAUUUCUUUUUGCUUUCCAGUUCAUGCUAGGAGUGGAAGGCAUUCUUCUUAGGCUACUUGGGUAUCAGGAGACCCAGCCCUUUCCCUGUGAAUAUUUGAUUUUACUUCUUGUGAGUGUUCAGCUCCUGCUUAACAACAGGCAACAUGAAGAGUGAGAUUGGAGGUGAGAAGGUACUUAUCUGCUGCUUGUGAGCAAGGCUCUGUAAGGGGUAGGCUCCCCCACAAGACAACCCGGUGGUUGCUCAGGAAACUGUGAGACAAACCGUGCUCCCUGAGAAGAAAGGGGGACUCAACAGUCUAUGGCUCUGAUAACCUUAGCUGGUGGCCUGGCUUCCUUCUGAUAAGAGAAAGAGAAGUACAAAACAUUCACCAGACUGUAGCACCUUUCACCAUCCUCUCUGAGCUGCAAUGAAGAUAAAAACAAAGCUAUUCAUGACCUACCAUGCUUUGAAUGGACCCAGCCUCUCUCUCCCAGAAAUUCAUGUUAAAAUGAAAAAAUGUAACCAAAUUUGAGAGCCAUAUUUUCCUCCUGAGCCACAAUUAUCCUGAUCCCUCAUUCAAAACAACUCUGUGAUGAAGACAACAGUACAUUUUUCCUGUCUGUUCCAUUCUGCCUAAAUCACAUACCUCUGAAGAAUCUGCUCAGGAUCACCUUGUCAUAUACAGAACCUCCAGG
RNAcentral lists this long non-coding RNA (871 nucleotides) under Homo sapiens (human). RNAcentral's name for it is "HSALNT0046073". Lineage: Eukaryota; Metazoa; Chordata; Mammalia; Primates; Hominidae. The record is from RNAcentral.